Long non-coding RNA from Gorilla gorilla gorilla (western lowland gorilla), 1285 nucleotides. RefSeq lists it as uncharacterized. The transcript has 4 exons. NCBI's taxonomy places the organism in Eukaryota, Metazoa, Chordata, Mammalia, Primates, Hominidae. The record is from RefSeq and is a predicted model, not a curated record.
CACCAUGGUAACCCCUAGUGGUAGAAGGAGCUGCCAAUUGCUCACUGCUCAGGUUCCAGGGGAUUUCUUCCUCAGUUGAAUAAGAAGGAGUUAAGCCUCUUUAGAAACGAGGGCUAUAGCCUGUCAGUAACUAAAUUUAUUCCUGCUUUUAACAUAUCAGAAUUCUGAUGUCCAGAAAAUGUAGAUGCCAGCAUUAUUUAAAAACUGAGUAGAGAAGUGAAUGGAAAUUUUGACCCACUCCGGCUUCCAUCUAUCAUGGGAGCCUAUAACGCGGAAUGAACGAAGAAGGAUUUAAAAUAGAAGAUCAGUGAUUGCUCUAUUAAUCUAGUUUAACUGAUACUAAAGUCUGACAGAGCGAAUUACAAGUUGCAGGCGGUACAGACUUGGAGUGGAUCAUAACUGGAAUUGGAGGCAGAGAUCUUACCUCUUGUAAUUUUAAGACUGCUAAUCGAGGAGUCUUUUGAGUUACUGGAUUAUCUGCUUGCCCUUAUUGCCUAACUCUGGAAAUGACAAAACCUGCGGUCCUGAAGGGUUACUCGGCCCUCAGGUGAUUACCGAUUUGGAGUUUGUUGCUGAACUGAAUUCAUGAUGAAGAUCCUGCAAUUUGGUGACCUCCUUUUUGAUGCUCACUGCUUAUCUGAAUCUUCAAAACCAGGACUGACCAGGACAGAUUGGCCUGUGACAACUGGUGCAUGGUGGAGAGUAGAACAACUCUGAAGAAGAGGUCCCAAAGGAAACUCCAGUCACUUUUGUAACUUUUCUCUGGGAAGCCUUGCUGGAAAAUUCACGUCAUUCAUUCCAAGGUUGCCAAAAGCACUACAAUUGAUUGAUUUCCAGAAGAAAAAUCAGUAGUUACUAGCUAAUUAUGACAACAAAUACUUCUCUGUAUAUCUAAUGUAUUUGAAUGAUUUAAAAUAAAGAGUUGAAUCUCCAACAUUUUCUGAAAGCCCAGCCAAAAGUUCUAUCCCACAAUUGUUAAAACAUUUAUUCCAUUUUGUGACUAGGUAAUGAAUUCCUGUGAAUCAUGAAUCUAAGCCACAGGAAAUAGUACACAGGACAAAAUAUUAUUCUCACACUUGCCUCCAUGCUUCCCAUUUCCCACCCUCACCAAAACCACAUUGAUUGGCAUCUGUGUGUCCUUGUAAAAUUUCCUUCUGGAAAUACAAACGAAUACGACCAUACAUAUAUUCUUAUUCUCCACCUUCUUUAAAAAAAUUCAAUGAUUUACCAAUAUUAUGGGCCUUACAUUUUUCACUUAAAGUUAGGGGGGCAUUAUAUCAGUAAA